Molecule: long non-coding RNA, 1371 nt
Organism: Oncorhynchus kisutch (coho salmon)
Lineage: Eukaryota; Metazoa; Chordata; Actinopteri; Salmoniformes; Salmonidae
Source: Ensembl
GUGCUGUAGCUAUACGAGUCCACUCCAGCUGGAGACAGUAUCACAGCUGCGAAUGGCUCAAAAAAAAAUUCCCCGGGAGAAUCGUCUGAAGUCACUUUGGCACCGAACAUUUCAAUCGCAUUUCUGCACAGAUAAAGUAUUCAAGGCACUCCCCACCCCCUUGUACCCUGCUGCUGCCCCCGUCACUCCUGCUACACCGGUGACCCCAGCUGCCACCCCUGAAACUGCCACGUCCACCUCACCUUCAGUAAUACUCAAGCGCCGGACCGCAAGGAAGCCGGUCCCAGAGAGGGAGCUGGACAGCAGGAGUGGCAGUGAGGAGGUGGUGAAGGAAGAACAAGGACCUCAGAAAAAAAGAGCACGGGUUGACAAAACACAGGACAGCACAGCUCCCAGGAAAGCAGCUGUGAAGAUGGAGAAACCAGAGGAGAAAAGCGUGGAAGACAAAUAGGAGUAAAAGCGUGGAAGACAAAACAAAAUUGUGGAAGACAAAAAUGAGAAGAGUGAGGGAGAAGGAAAGCUGAGCACAGAGAAGUGGAAAAGGUGGCUAGUAUCACUGAGGACGUUAAAGACAAUAAAGGGUAAGAGGGAGACAACUGCCAAUAAUGCAUAUAUUUACUUUACACCAGUGGUCACCAACCGAUCUCCAAGCCAUUCCUUUUUUUAUUAUCGUUUUGUACUUUUUUACCCGUUUUUCCUCCCCAAUUUUGUGAUAUCCAAGUGGUAGUUAGUCUUGUCCCAUCGCUGCGACAGUCGAGAGCCAUGCGUCCUCUGAAAAACCACCCUGCCAAGCCGCAUUGCUUCUUGACACACUGCUCCCUUAACCCGGAAACCAGCUGCACCACUGUGUCUGAGGAAACACCGUUCAGCUGAGCUACACCAUUUUGUGAUGCAAAACAUGGGCUGGGCUACAUGAUGCAUGCGACUGAUUUGAAAAAGUUGCACACAGAAGAAGGCAUGUGCUGUGCAUCAUUCACAAGUGAUAAUACUCUCACCAUUCAGACUAUUCUCAAUUUAAACUUGUCUUUAAAUGUGUGUGAAAUUUGUUUCGAUUUCAAAUGGGGCAUUUAUCAUGCACCUGUCAGAGCAGGGGCAGUGAAAAAACGAAAGACGCCAUCAGUAUGCACUUGAAUAGUAAAGGACGCUUUUCCCACUGUUCAUUUUCAUGCCAGCCAGGCAGGCUACUCUAAUUGUAAAGAUUAAAAAAAAUGCUUAAUCUAUGGAAAGUUGAGGAAUAAAUAUAAUAGUCCUAGCCUAUAGAAAGCUAAUGGGUCCUCUAUUAAAAAGAGGCCAUCAACUCUGUUUUCUCAUGCAAUUGCCUUGCCUAUGGAAAUGUUGUGCAACAAACACUUUAUUCCAUGCAUCAACCAG